CGGCCGCGGGAUUCGAUUAGAGUUUGAUCCUGGCUCAGAUUGAACGCUGGCGGCGUGCUUAACACAUGCAAGUCGAUCGGUAACGCGGGGGCAACCCUGGCGACGAGAGGCGGACGGGUGAGGAACGCUUGGGAAUCUGCCCUUCAGCGGGGGACAACCCGGGGAAACUCGGGCUAAUACCGCAUACGCUCUAUGGAGGAAAGCCGGGGACCGCAAGGCCUGGCACUGAAGGAUGAGCCCAAGUCGGAUUAGCUAGUUGGCGGGGUAACGGCCCACCAAGGCUACGAUCCGUAGCUGGUCUGAGAGGACGAUCAGCCACACCGGAACUGAGACACGGUCCGGACUCCUACGGGAGGCAGCAGUGGGGAAUAUUGGACAAUGGGGGAAACCCUGAUCCAGCGACGCCGCGUGGGUGAAGAAGGCCUGCGGGUUGUAAAGCUCUGUGGGGAGGGACGAACCGCAGCUGGUUCAUAGCCAGCAGCAUGACGGUACCUCCUUAGCAAGCACCGGCUAACUUCGUGCCAGCAGCCCCGGUCA
This 537-nucleotide ribosomal RNA is filed under the name uncultured bacterium. Its description in RNAcentral is "bacterial SSU rRNA". It matches the Rfam family "Bacterial small subunit ribosomal RNA", at positions 1 to 523 of the family's 1533-position model. The record is from RNAcentral.